Molecule: non-coding RNA, 90 nt
Filed under: human gut metagenome
Source: RNAcentral
CAAUCGGGGUGCUGCCGGAACGGUUCCGGAUGCUGAGAAAAAACCCGUCAAACCUGACCAGGGUAAUGCCUGCGUAGGAAAGGAGUGAAA